RNAcentral lists this ribosomal RNA (253 nucleotides) under uncultured bacterium. Its description in RNAcentral is "partial 16S ribosomal RNA". It matches the Rfam family "Bacterial small subunit ribosomal RNA", at positions 524 to 776 of the family's 1533-position model. The record is from RNAcentral.
UACGUAGGGUGCGAGCGUUAAUCGGAAUUACUGGGCGUAAAGCGUGCGCAGGCGGCUUUCUAAGUCAGAUGUGAAAUCCCCGGGCUCAACCUGGGAACUGCAUUUGUGACUGCAAGGCUAGAGUACGGCAGAGGGGGAUGGAAUUCCGCGUGUAGCAGUGAAAUGCGUAGAUAUGCGGAGGAACACCAAUGGCGAAGGCAAUCCCCUGGGCCUGUACUGACGCUCAUGCACGAAAGCGUGGGGAGCAAACAGG